AUUUUCAAUUGUGAAAAAUAUGAAUGAUUUAUUGUAAUUGACAAAGUUUAUUUUGGUGUAGAAAUGAAAGUGACUCUAGUCAGCAACAUUGAAACACAAAGUUUAGAGAGAAAAACACUGUAUUGUUGGUAGUGAUAAUGCCUUUCUCAGUGUAGUCCACACCCUAAUACAUAAGUCUUGGACAAAUAAAUAUACAAUGAUCAUAUAGUCAAAAACAAAGAGGGUCAUCAGUCAAACAUUGGUUAAAGGGAAAAAAAGAUUGCUAAAAAAUCAAUAUAAAAUAGUCUGGUUGUCAUUUAUACACUACAGGAUGGCUGAUUUUAUUUCACAAGGAUUCAAGUUUUCAAAUGUUCUCCCUUACAUCAAAACUAACUGAAAAUUAAACUAGAUAAAAAAUAAUUUAUUCAUACUUGUAGAACAUACAUCUAAUUUCAUGAAGACUAUGUCUACACAUAGAUCUAUCUAAACUGGACAGUGUAAAUGACAAUAAAAUUUAUUUAUCAAACAACAACGUAAUGGCUACACAAUGUCCAAGAGUUAAAAAAAAACAACACUGCAGAUUUGGCAGCUCAUAUGUCUAAAAUUUUAAUUUAAAAUAUUUUAAUUUUAUUUAAAAUGAAACUUUGGUAUUCUGUCUUCAUAUAAACAUUUGGUGAACCUAAAUCCAUAUGUAAGGCAUUUUGUUGUCUGCCUGUGGACCAUGGUCUGGAAUCUACAAUGUAUUUUUUUUUCUACACAAAUUCUGAUCUUUAACUAUGGAUUAUUUGCUGAACAAAAUUACAGAUCUUCAAGUUAUGUUUUAAAUCACAUUAUAAGACAAUAGUUAACCUCUUAAUUGCAGAAAUUAAAAUUACAAAAAAAGAGCUGCUACAAGAAUGAUGUUUACAAAGUAGACUAAAGAAAUUCACUGAAAUCUCACAAAUUUUAAUUACUUGAUCAGAGAGAAAAUUCAGUCCUGUAUGUAAUGUAUUACAAUAUAUCCAUCAAGACAAAGGGCUCCUACGUAAUGUAUAUAUCCAUCAAGACAAAGGGCUCCUACGUAAUGUAUAUAUCCAUCAAGACAAAGGGC
Molecule: non-coding RNA, 1069 nt
Organism: Biomphalaria pfeifferi
Lineage: Eukaryota; Metazoa; Mollusca; Gastropoda; Planorbidae
Source: the annotation of a GenBank genome assembly